This 253-nucleotide ribosomal RNA is filed under the name uncultured bacterium. Its description in RNAcentral is "partial 16S ribosomal RNA". It matches the Rfam family "Bacterial small subunit ribosomal RNA", at positions 524 to 776 of the family's 1533-position model. The record is from RNAcentral.
UACAGAGGGGGCAAGCGUUGUUCGGAAUUACUGGGCGUAAAGGGCGCGUAGGCGGCCUUCUAAGUCGAACGUGAAAUCCCCGGGCUCAACCCGGGAACUGCGUCCGAUACUGGAAGGCUUGAAUCCGGGAGAGGGAUGCGGAAUUCCAGGUGUAGCGGUGAAAUGCGUAGAUAUCUGGAGGAACACCGGUGGCGAAGGCGGCUCACUGGCUCGUAUCUGACGCUCAGGCGCGACAGCGUGGGGAUCAAACAGG